CCAAUAGCGUAUAUUAAAGUUGUUGCAGUUAAAAAGCUCGUAGUUGAAUUUCGGGGUCAGUAGGUUGGUCAUGCCACUGGUAUGUACUGGUCUCACUGAUUCCUCCUUCCUGAUGAGCCGUAAUGCCAUUAAUUUGGUGUUGCGAGGAAUCUGGACUGUUACUUUGAAAAAAUUAGAGUGUUUAAAGCAGGCUAACGCUUGAAUACAUUAGCAUGGAAUAAUGAAAUAGGACGUUCGAUCUUAUUUUGUUGGUUUCUAAGAUUGACGUAAUGAUUAAUAGGGGUAGUUGGGGGCAUUAGUAUUCAAUUGUCAGAGGUGAAAUUCUUGGAUUUAUUGAAGACUAACUACUGCGAAAGCAUUUGCCAAGGAUGUUUUCAUUAAUCAAGAACGAAAGUUAGGGGAUCGAAGACGAUCAGAUACCGUCGUAGUCUUAACCAUAAACUAUGCCGACUAGGGAUCGGAUGAUGUUAAUUUUUUAAUGACUCAUUCGGCGCCUUACG
RNAcentral lists this ribosomal RNA (500 nucleotides) under uncultured Glomus. RNAcentral's name for it is "SSU rRNA". It matches the Rfam family "Eukaryotic small subunit ribosomal RNA", at positions 591 to 1092 of the family's 1831-position model. The record is from RNAcentral. Lineage: Eukaryota; Fungi; Glomeromycota; Glomeromycetes; Glomerales; Glomeraceae.